AAAUUUGGGCUAAUUCUAACUGAUUUGAGGUCAAAUGGUCAAUAUAUGCACUUAUAUGCUAGAUAUAUGCGCAUGAUUUUAUAAGUAGUACAUACAAGCUAGAAUCCCCUUUCGGGAUUGGGGUAAACCUUUUAUCCCCCCCACCGGAAGGAUUUCUACCUGGUCUAAUUAUAAUUUUUAAGAAAGCCCGUCCGAAUAUACUCUAACCCGCAACUCUCACAUCCCAGCCUUGGCAAAUACCAAAAUUUGGAAGGGUGAAAAUUUAAUGGAUCUCCAACCGGGCUGGCCCUUGGAAUAACCAAGGGCGCAAGGGGGGUUCCAAGAAUCCAUGAAUCCCUGGAUUCCGGAAAUUACAUUUCUUAUCGCAUUUCCCUGCCUUCUUCCUCCAUGCCAGAACCCAAAAAACCCUUGGUGAAAGUUGGAUAAUUUUUAAUUAAAAAAAACUUGUCAAAAAACAAAGUUUCAAUAUGAAAUCGUUCUAUGUAACAUACAAUAAGAGUUAUAUAGGGUGAUCAUAGUUAGGAUUUCUCCUGACUACAGUUGGUUCACAGGUGUAUAUAUUAUAUAGCUCCAGAGUGUGCACAUGCAAUAUUCAUUACCAGCACAACUCCUUCGCAUAUAUGAAUUCAAUAAUGAUCCUUCCGCAGUACCCCACGCGAAGAGAAAGGAACCUUUAUUGGAAAUUCAUAUAUGCGAAGGAAGUUUGUGCGUGGUAAUGAAAUAUGGCAGGUGCACCUCUGGGAGCUAUAUAAUAUAUACACUGUGAACAACUGUAGUCAGGAGAAAUCUAACUAUGAUCACCUAUAUACUCUAUGUAUGUUACAUAGAAAGAUCUAUAUUGGAAACUUUGUUUUUCUGACAGUUCUCUAAUUAAAAAAUAUACACUUCACAACGGAUCUCUGGGCUCUGCAUCGAUAAAAACGCACGAAUGCAUAAGUAAUGUGAAUUGCAAAAUCAGUGAUCUCGAAAUCUUGAACCACCUGCGCUUUGGUAUAUCCGAGGGGGCAUGCGUUUGAAAGAUCAUAACUUCACCUUACAAUUUUGUUAUUGUCAGCUGCAUUGAGAGUGCUGCUAAGUAAUUCUGACUGACUCUUACUUAUAGGACUGUAAGCUCAGAUGUGGAAAAUGUUCACAUACGAAGGGAUCACUGUAGUCACAUUAAAAUGCAAUUCGCAUCGCAUUGAGUGUAUAUCAGGAGGCU
This 1201-nucleotide ribosomal RNA is filed under the name Agroathelia rolfsii. RNAcentral's name for it is "eukaryotic LSU rRNA". The stretch from base 881 to 1024 matches the Rfam family "5.8S ribosomal RNA". The record is from RNAcentral. Lineage: Eukaryota; Fungi; Basidiomycota; Agaricomycetes; Amylocorticiales; Amylocorticiaceae.